AGGUUCAACCAGACUGGAGAAACGGAAAGAAGAGUAGAGGACAGGGGAGCCAGGGUCAGAUCCAGUCUUUUUUCUUUGACCCCAGCCUCAUUUCCUACCCGGCAGCUGCCCAUCCGAAAUGGCUCUGAAG
This 130-nucleotide microRNA precursor is filed under the name Mus pahari (shrew mouse). RNAcentral's name for it is "microRNA 8119 (MGP_PahariEiJ_G0007561.1)". Lineage: Eukaryota; Metazoa; Chordata; Mammalia; Rodentia; Muridae. The record is from RNAcentral.